RNAcentral lists this transfer RNA (76 nucleotides) under Roseiflexus sp. RNAcentral's name for it is "tRNA-Met". It matches the Rfam family "tRNA". From Rfam's summary of the family: Transfer RNA (tRNA) molecules are approximately 80 nucleotides in length. Their secondary structure includes four short double-helical elements and three loops (D, anti-codon, and T loops). Lineage: Bacteria; Bacillati; Chloroflexota; Chloroflexia; Chloroflexales; Roseiflexaceae. The record is from RNAcentral.
GCCGGUGUAGCUCAGUGGUUAGAGCGAACGACUCAUAAUCGUUAGGUCACUGGUUCGAUUCCAGUCACCGGCACCA